Folsomia candida is the source of this 677-nucleotide long non-coding RNA. RefSeq lists it as uncharacterized. The record is from RefSeq and is a predicted model, not a curated record. NCBI's taxonomy places the organism in Eukaryota, Metazoa, Arthropoda, Collembola, Entomobryomorpha, Isotomidae. The transcript is spliced from 4 exons.
CGGUUCUCACUUCCCUACACAACCGCCGAACAUUAAUAAAAUUCUUGCCGCCGCCCAUAGUGGCACCGGUGUUGACUUGUGGUACAGAUAUUAUAUUUGAAUUUGCAUCAUAGACUCAUGCACGAUAGAGUCGAGUCGGUUAUCCAACUUUUGGAUAAGGUUGCCAUGUAAUAUGCAGACUCAUUAUGCUAGCUGAGGCGUAAAUCAACACUGAACUUAUCGCAUCUAUUCAGAAUGCCACGUUGGCCUAAUUGCACUUACCACACGUAUAUAAAGCCGAGUAUACAUACGGGAUGCUCCAUCGUAACUUGCUCUUGCUCCGGGGAACCAGAAUGACCUCAUUUUCGACAUUUUCCAUAAUCCUGGCUGCAUUUUGCAGCGUUCAAAGUCAAAACUAUCGCCAGGUGUUGGAAAAGUCGCUGCUCUUUUAUGAAGGACAGCGGAGUGGAAGACUUCCCGCAAAUAAUCUCCCCUUGGAGGGGAGAUUCCAUGUUGGAGGAUGGCGAUGGUGACGUAGAUUUGACUGGGGGAUAUUUCGACGCUGGAGACCACGUAAAGUUCAAUUUCCCCCAGGCCUGGGCCCUCUCGACGAUUGCGAUGCGCGAAAACAAAAUCCCGCACGGAUGCCAAGACAUUAACAACCUUUUUAACUAACCCAGAUCCGUACACGUCAAUUA